Molecule: ribosomal RNA, 324 nt
Filed under: Triticum aestivum (bread wheat)
Lineage: Eukaryota; Viridiplantae; Streptophyta; Magnoliopsida; Poales; Poaceae
Description: partial small subunit ribosomal RNA
Source: RNAcentral
CUCCCUGACCAAGAUGACACCAUCCACUGGAACUUAACCACCUCGGGGACAUACUCGGCCGCCUCUGCCUACGGCGCACAGUUCCUUGGCUCCUACUCUCGUUUUGACACAACCAAGGUCUGGUCUGCAAACGCUGAGCCCAAGUGCAAGUUCUUUGCUUGGCUUGUUCUACACGGAAGAAUCCUCACUGCAGAUAUGCUGGCUGUGAGGGGAUGGCCUCAUGAACCCAGAUGCCUGCUUUGUCUCCAACAGCCUGAAACAGCAACCCACCUCUGCAAAGACUGCCCCUUCACGGUCGCGGUCUGGAACCAGGUCAACACCUGA